AGGGGUGGAGAAAGUGUGUGUGUAGGAGAGGAGUCCAGCAGAGAGAGCUGCUUUUUCACGAAACGGGAGUAAAGUAGUGAACUUACAGGAACAUAUACCACUACCAACGUUUUGAUCGAUAUCUGGAUCGAUCUGCACACCCUUGUCUCCUGGAUUGUAGCUGAGAUCAGCGUGAACCACGUGGGUCUCUGCUCCCUGAUCUGUUUCCUGUGUUUGGAAAGACUUCCAGCUUCAUCGCGGAGUUUCUCUCGGUUUGUGGGCUCAACUAAAGAACAGUUCUCCACAGUCGCUGUCCACAUGGGUCAGUGGGACCAAGCAGCACUCUGCUAAUGUGUGGACUCUGACCAGCAACAUCCAGCAAGACCCAGGCAGCGUUUUCUAUCUCCCAGCUGGAGUUUUUUGUUUGUCUGUGACUGGAGAGUCAGGUUUUUGUUGAGCUUCACACUUGCAGAGGUUAAUACACUCUACUGAUCCCUGAUGGGAGAAUCAUCAAUUUUGCCAACAAAGAAGCCUGGUUGAUGUUUGUUUACAGUCUGAUGAUGGGACAUCAUACUCUGCAUCUUCAAAGUUUGCCUCCUCAUUAUUAUUCAUACCCAGUAAUGUGAAGUAUGCUUAUAUCUACUAUAACUGAACCAACCUGGUGCUCUUCAUUUAUGGAGGCUUUUGAGUCUGAAUGUUGGAUGUUGUGUAUCUCAUGUUCUCUGGGCUUUGUUGUCCUCAGUCUUUUUGCAGGAUCAGAAAACAAAACCAGGAGGCCUGUAAAUGUUUCUUCUAAAUGAUGUUUCUUCAAAUGUUUCUUCUGGACGAUGAUAAGACCGUGACAUGGGAUGUCACCUUUGGUCUUGUGAUGAAGCAAAGCUCAGGAAGAAGUGUGAUUAAAUGGUACCCACAUGUGUGCUGCUGAGAAGGAUGUACAGGAGCACCUGCAGCCAAAUCCAAGCCUCCUCAGAGCAGAGCAGCUGUUUGUGCUCACAGAUGGUGACGGUGUGGAGAGACGGUGGUGUUUCCUCAGAAGAACUAGCAGAGUCACCAAGGGCACGAGUCCAUCUCACCACCUUGACUUGCUGACUGAUGCUCGUCUGCACUGCACAGAGGAAAUCAACUGACCAAGGUUUGUCCAGUGACGUGUUAUGAAAUGUAUAUUUGUUUUAUGCUUACAGAUUUGUUUUUCUUGACAGAGGCUCUGCAGAGGUUAGACAAAGCGCCUUGAGGCGACUUUUGUUGUGAUUUGGCGCUAUAUAAAUAAAAUUGAAUUGAAUUGAAUUGAAAUUGAAUUGAAAGCAGAGAAAAUAUGUGCUUUACAUUUUACUGUGAUUUACUGGGAUAUUUGUUGCCUGAUGUUCAGCAGGAAUGGAGGAAUAGAAUCAAAGGGAGAUGUUUUUGCUGUUUUUGUAAUGUGAGUAAAUCUUCUGUAUUAUUUAUUUGCUUGGUUAUUUUAGGAGUGUUUCUGGGUGAGGGGGAGAGGAGUCAUCAUCCAGGUAAAGUGACGUGGAUGAGUGGAUACACUUGUCUCCCCUUUAAAGGAGACGAUCCGAGUCAUCCUUAAAUAUGGGAAGGAUAUCAGUCUUGGACUGUCUAACCUGCAGGAGCAGCACUGAAUGACCACCACACAUGAGCAUGUUCCUGCAACAUUCAGCAGCUUUGCUUUUGUGUCAAAUGUCAAACAGCUGGAGAGGAAACUACACCAGUACUGGGAUGUUUCAACAACACGUGCCAGACGCUGUUCCUUCAUGGUGACAUCACCAGAGACAGCCCCGCCCACCUCAGGACCUCGCCAUUGAUCAUGAUGAUUUUAAUGAUGACAGCGAGCGGAACUAAGACUGUAAAAAUCCAUGACCAGAAUGUUUAGAUGCUUUCUAAUUAUUAAUGAAUACUGAGUUUUUGUCUCUCUCUCUUUUUUUUUUUACCUCAUUUGUUACUAACAAAGUUCACCAAACUCACAGUUUACAUUCUGUAUGUUUCCAUCAAGGUUUAUUUUCAUAGAAAUCAUCAUUUUUCUCCUUUUCUCUUUUUCUCUUUUGUAAUUGAUGAUAAUUCAGUGAAUAUACUGCGCUGCUUCCUUUUAUUGCGACACACAUUGGUUUAAGUUUUUCAGUGUCCAGUUAUUUUUUACUGCUGUUUGAAUUCUCUGUAUGUUUGACCCUGUAGACUGUUUGAUGGACUGCUUGUCUUCCUGUUUGUAACCGCCGCCUGUUUUUGACUAAAGAUUUGGAUUUCUGACUUUAACACAGCCUCUGCGUGUUCUCCCUUUGUGUCCUCUUCCUCUGUGAAUGUGUUGCAUGUGUCACAGAUUCAUUUUAUUAACAGCUUUCCCACAGUGAGUUGCAUCAGCAUUCAUUCACAGCACAUUUCAGAAGGAUUCAGAUUAAUACAGUGA
Molecule: long non-coding RNA, 2377 nt
Organism: Oreochromis aureus
Lineage: Eukaryota; Metazoa; Chordata; Actinopteri; Cichliformes; Cichlidae
Exons: 6
Source: RefSeq, a predicted model, not a curated record